UCUUAAAAUUUAUACCACUUCAGUUUAUUUAGCACUAAUUUUCUGUGGAUAGAACCCAUACAACAUCACUAUGGGGUCUAAUAUUUGUCAAUGCAAUGGCAUUUUACAAAGACAAGGAUCAAUACCUCAAAUAUUUACAUCAAGAAUGUCUUGAUUGAUUUGCUUUUGUGUUUCCAACUUCCAGUCUACCAAUUUGCUUUGGAUCAACCUCAUACUUCUCAAGAAGUGAAGUAACAGCGGUCAAACUGCAGAUCAACAAAUGAAUAGCUAAGCAGCUUCUUUUGACCACUUAAAUGAAUUAGAUGGUAAAGUGAUCCCAUCUCCAUGUACUCAGAUGUGGAGGCUUUGUGGAAGCACCGAGAAACAACAUAACUAUAAGAAAAAGAGACAAGUUAGUGUAAAUACAUAUUGAAAGAAAUAGAGCUGAUUACUUAGACAAUAUGACCAUUUCAAAAAAAAAAA
Long non-coding RNA from Ipomoea nil (Japanese morning glory), 462 nucleotides. RefSeq lists it as uncharacterized. Lineage: Eukaryota; Viridiplantae; Streptophyta; Magnoliopsida; Solanales; Convolvulaceae. The transcript has 2 exons. The record is from RefSeq and is a predicted model, not a curated record.